Molecule: long non-coding RNA, 632 nt
Filed under: Gallus gallus (chicken)
Lineage: Eukaryota; Metazoa; Chordata; Aves; Galliformes; Phasianidae
Description: long non-coding RNA NONGGAT011961
Source: RNAcentral
AUCAAUCCAGGACAGCAUCACCCCAGCUGAUGCCAGGGAGAUUGAAGAUCACCAGAGGCACCAAUGGCAGUGACUGAAGAACCCCAGCAACACUGUCAUACAACAGAAGCACUCUAGCUCAGAGUUAGCAGUUGAGGGUAUAAGACAGUGCCAAGAGGACCUUCCUCAGGGAUCAGAUGUACUCUCUGAAAAUAAAGUAAGGUGGUGUGUUCUGGUGUUAGGUUCAUUGGUUGGGUUUCAUUGUUGUCAUUAUUUUGUACAUAAAGUUAUUUUGGGUCAGAAGCUGAAUGCUUGUAUACUGUGUAAAUGUAUUUGUGAUCAGUUUAAACCUGUUUGUUCUUGGGCCAGCAUGGCCUUUCAGGAUUUGUACAGUAUUCUUGUACUCUAACUACAUGGCUUUCAUUUUGUGAGAUUCCUCUGAUUGUUUUAGUUGUCCUUCUCUGCACCUGCUCCAAAUUGAUUUAAUCUUACGUGGACUUGAACUGUAGCCCACACAAAUCUCACUGGUACAAUUUGUGCCUAUAUUUUAUUCUUUGUACCUGCCCUGUAAAGCACUUACCCUUCUCACAGCACCAUCUUACAUGUAGAUACUGUAGGACCAGCUGAUACUUUCUCAACAAUUGUCAGCCACC